Molecule: transfer RNA, 74 nt
Filed under: Brucella pseudogrignonensis
Lineage: Bacteria; Pseudomonadati; Pseudomonadota; Alphaproteobacteria; Hyphomicrobiales; Brucellaceae
Also listed under: 1 other name
Description: Ochrobactrum pseudogrignonense tRNA-Gly
Rfam family: tRNA
About the family: Transfer RNA (tRNA) molecules are approximately 80 nucleotides in length. Their secondary structure includes four short double-helical elements and three loops (D, anti-codon, and T loops).
Source: RNAcentral
GCGGGUGUAGCUCAGGGGUAGAGCACAACCUUGCCAAGGUUGGGGUCGAGGGUUCGAAUCCUUCGCCCGCUCCA